UUACUACUUGGAUAACCGUGGUAAUUCUAGAGCUAAUACAUGCUAAAAACCCCGACUUCGGAAGGGGUGUAUUUAUUAGAUAAAAAACCAAUGCUCUUCGGGGCUCCUUGGUGAUUCAUGAUAACUUAACGAAUCGCAUGGCCUUGUGCCGGCGAUGGUUCAUUCAAAUUUCUGCCCUAUCAACUUUCGAUGGUAGGAUAGUGGCCUACCAUGGUUUCAACGGGUAACGGGGAAUUAGGGUUCUAUUCCGGAGAGGGAGCCUGAGAAACGGCUACCACAUCCAAGGAAGGCAGCAGGCGCGCAAAUUACCCAAUCCCGACACGGGGAGGUAGUGACAAUAAAUACUGAUACAGGGCUCAUUUGAGUCUUGUAAUUGGAAUGAGUACAAUUUAAAUCCCUUAACGAGGAACAAUUGGAGGGCAAGUCUGGUGCCAGCAGCCGCGGUAAUUCCAGCUCCAAUAGCGUAUAUUAAAGUUGUUGCAGUUAAAAAGCUCGUAGUUGAACCUUGGGCCUGGCUGGCCGGUCCGCCUCACCGCGUGCACUGGUCCGGCCGGGUCUUUCCUCCUGGGGAGCCGCAUGCCCUUCACUGGGUGUGUCGGGGAACCAGGACUUUUACUUUGAAAAAAUUAGAGUGUUCAAAGCAGGCCUAUGCUCGAAUACAUUAGCAUGGAAUAAUAGAAUAGGACGUGUGGUUCUAUUUUGUUGGUUUCUAGGACCGCCGUAAUGAUUAAUAGGGAUAGUCGGGGGCAUCAGUAUUCAAUUGUCAGAGGUGAAAUUCUUGGAUUUAUUGAAGACUAACUACUGCGAAAGCAUUUGCCAAGGAUGUUUUCAUUAAUCAGUGAACGAAAGUUAGGGGAUCGAAGACGAUCAGAUACCGUCGUAGUCUUAACCAUAAACUAUGCCGACUAGGGAUCGGGCGAUGUUAUCUUUUUGACUCGCUCGGCACCUUACGAGAAAUCAAAGUUUUUGGGUUCUGGGGGGAGUAUGGUCGCAAGGCUGAAACUUAAA
RNAcentral lists this ribosomal RNA (1008 nucleotides) under Pseudogymnoascus destructans. RNAcentral's name for it is "SSU rRNA". It matches the Rfam family "Eukaryotic small subunit ribosomal RNA", at positions 132 to 1148 of the family's 1831-position model. The record is from RNAcentral. Lineage: Eukaryota; Fungi; Ascomycota; Leotiomycetes; Thelebolales; Thelebolaceae.